CCUACGGGGGGCAGCAGUGAGGAAUAUUGGUCAAUGGGCUUACGCCUGAACCAGCCAAGUCGCGUGAGGGAAGACUACCCUAUGGGUUGUAAACCUCUUUUGUCAGGGAGCAAAGGCGGGGACGUGUCCCCGGAUGAGUGUACCUGAAGAAAAAGCAUCGGCUAACUCCGUGCCAGCAGCCGCGGUAAUACGGAGGAUGCGAGCGUUAUCCGGAUUUAUUGGGUUUAAAGGGGGCGCAGGCGGCGAGUUAAGUCAGCGGUAAAAUUUCGGGGCUCAACCCCGACGAGCCGUUGAAACUG
Molecule: ribosomal RNA, 299 nt
Filed under: uncultured bacterium
Lineage: Bacteria
Description: partial 16S ribosomal RNA
Rfam family: Bacterial small subunit ribosomal RNA
Source: RNAcentral